Molecule: long non-coding RNA, 3941 nt
Organism: Candoia aspera
Lineage: Eukaryota; Metazoa; Chordata; Lepidosauria; Squamata; Candoiidae
Exons: 5
Source: RefSeq, a predicted model, not a curated record
AAGCCAAACCCAAUUUCUUGUCUGUUGUGCUUCACUGUUCCCUCCCCUCCUGGUGUAAUCCAAAGUGAACUAUCAAAUAGCACUGCCCGCUUUCUUUCAGCCGUUCAUGCGAGGCGUUCAGUCAAGUUCUAACUCCGCUUUAGGGCCUCACAGCCCCAUCUGUGGGGUCCCGUGGAGCUCAAGUGGACCCAUGAUCAAGAGAGGAACAGGAACUGGCCUUGGACGUUACGCUAAGUCACAGCCGUAACUCGUCAAAGAAAUCACAACUGGAUGGUUGCGUAACACUCCAUGCCACAAAACUUGUUUUAUAAAUCGUAACUGGCUUGAUUCACGCUACCGACUGAACUGAACCAAAAUACAUCAGGACUCAGAGGGCUCUUGGUGUCUGACCUGAAAAACUGAUCUGCAACUUCUCUUUUUACUGGAAGAAUCUCCCGGCUCGCUGAUCCUUCUGCCCGACAGCCCAACUUCAUAGCCAGUGUUUCUCAACCGUGGCAACUUUAAGGCCAGUCAAGACAGAAGCAAAAGGGACAGCUAUUGAAGCCGGGAGGUCUGUGUUAAAUUCCAGUCUUGCCGUUUUGAAAUGCAAGUACCUUUUCCAAGGCGAGAUGCAACCGUUUGAAUAAUGCAUGCAGGAAAAAUGAUCCCUGCCUGCCGUGGGUAUAAAAAUGCCUGACUUGGCCAGCUACCUCUGUGGCUAGACAGCAGCAACAGGCAGAUAGGGCCUGCUUCUAGAGGUUGACAGAGCACCUUGUUGAAAGGGGUUGAUCCAUCCAGGAGCUAUAAUAUCUUCCCCAGAGGCAGAAGAUCAGACGGAGCUUCCAGUCAAACUACUACUUCUACGACUCUUGCCAGGCUCUUGAGGAUCAGCGAUGAUUCACUUCUGUCUGGCCCACACUGCCUAUCACUUCAGCCGACGGCUACCGAAGCACCUGCGAUUCAGACUGUAAGCUGCCACAUCUCGGAGUUAACUCAGGCACAAAAGUAAAAAAUCAUUAUUGUUCACUCCUACUGCUUGUAUUUCCACAUCGCCCAAUAAGAGCAUAAUCCUAGCUGCACACCCCAGCAUUAGAUGGGAAAAAGAAUGAAUUUAUGCUAUGUGUAACUCUAUGGGGGAAGUCCCCUUUGACACACGGUGCCUGCCACGCAGUCGCCCACUUUUGCAUCUCUUAAAACACUUCCGCAACCCACCCACGUGACUGAUGUCGCGGACCUAUAGCUUCUGUUCAAUCUUUUGGGUAAGCUGCACCCGUUGAAACCACAAGAAUAAAAUUCACCACUUAACGCCGCUUGCCACCAGUCACCAACCAUACAGCAUGACGGCAAUAUGCCUCCAGACAAUAAAAGCACUGAUCCAUCUAUCUGUUUUGUUUUUAUUUCCUUGCUCUCUUCCCUAGACAGCUUGUGAUUUUUGCCCUCGGAACUGCCGUUCUUCUUCUCCAAUUCUACAUCCUGCUACGGUAUAACACGGAACUUCGUUUCUCUUUUUCUCGUGAUAUUCCCUUGACGUGCUUGCGUACCUUCUAGAACAUGGGGGCAGCCGACCGGAACAUCCCGAGGAGUUCGAGAGAAGAGAGAACUUGCGGCCUGUCCCAUGAGUGUUUUUGGGGUUGGAUUGGGAUUUUUUUUGGUUAAAGUCUCUGCUGGAGACUGAACGGAUGGUUUCCGGUUUUCUCCCGAAGGUUCAAAUUCCCGACCUGAAGGACUGAAAAUUUAAGGGAAGGCUGUGGUGGGACAGGUAUUUUAGACUAUACUGAUAGUAAAAUGACCACCAAGCCUUGAGAGCAGUGCCUCUGAUAAAGAAGGCCCUCUAAUUUAGCGUUAGGAAAUUAGGCACAUGUUGGAAGUUAUAAUGUAAUAUACCUGGAAGUCAUUGAAAAGUUGUAAGGACUUAACUAACAACAGAUCAGAGACUGAGGAGGAGAAAUCCCUUGCAUGCAAAAGCUUCCAGGUUCAAACCGUAAUUUAAAAGGCCAAGUAGUGGGUGAGGGAAAAGGCCCUUCUCCGUGUGAGAUGCUGACAACUAUGCCAGAGGGAGAGAUGCUCCGGUGCUACUCUCAGUUUGCAUUUCUGGAUCUGUACCAUGCUCAACAAAUGGAACGGGGCUUUGUUCAUUCCAUGGUUACAGAGCGUAGGAAGUGGACUAAGAAGAGAAUCUAUGCUGGGAAAGGAAAGGAAAGGAAAGGAAAGGAAAGGAAAGGAAAGGAAAGGAAAGGAAAGGAAAGGAAAGGAAAGGAAAGGAAAGGAAAGGAAAGGAAAGGAAAGGAAAGGAAAGGAAAGGAAAGGAAAGGUUCAAGGACAGGUGUGAAAAUGUGCAGACCGAGCUUUGCAAGUAAGGGGAGAAACAAAGCAGGUUUCCCAGCGCCUGGCGCUAGCAGAAAUGAGGCAAGCUACAGGCAAAUGUAUGCAAAGGUGCAUAUAACGUAUACUGUACGUCCAGCAGAAUUCAGUUUGGCCUGCCGAAAGGUAAAAGAUAACCCCCAUGCAAAACCUCCAUGUAAAAUACCAGAAUUGCACGUUCCAGGUUACAUUUGAAGAACUGCUACCCAUGAACUUGGAACACGUGGUUACUGGCCCACCUUUUUCUCCACCUUGUUUUUCAGACCUAAAUCUUCUCACUACUGCGACCAGCCCCUUCUCUACAACCUGGCAGGCAGCAUUGCCUUGACAUUCCUUGCUACGGGUGUGUGAAGGCUCCAGAGGUUCUCCAGAGCGUCACGAGAGGCCAAGUUCUGCAGGAUGGUGCUCGAGGGCUCAUCCUAACCCAGGAGGAUGCAUGCGGGUCCCCACAUCAUCUUAGAGCUACCACAGCCUUGAAACAGAACGCUGCUCCUCAGCUUGGAAGGCUGGGUUGAUGCGGUGCUCCAAGCCACAAUGUCGCAGUUUUGGCUUCACAAAUCUAAACGCUUUUGCUGCAGAGCCCAGCAUUCAGCCUGUAGCUCUGCAGAAAAGACCGUGGGGGACAUGUACACCUAACAAGAACAGGCCGCAAUUUAUGUAGCCGAGGACUCCCCAAAGCCCUACCUAUUGUUCCUCUGUGCAUGUCCAUAUGCUAAUUCUCCUCUCACUGUCUUCUAGGGCUGGCUUUAAUCUUAGCCGUGGCAGAGCACGUCCCAUGGGAGCUGAGAGCCACUGUCUCCAUUUUUGGACUCACCUCUUUCGCAGAAGGAGCCUGUAUUACUUUACUCACUGCCUUGGCCACACAAUGUGCCAGAACCACUCCUGAGCUCUAUUACCUCUCGCUGACUCUGUCUGUGGCUAGCAUAAUAGCAACCACCUAUUUUUCCUUCUUGGGAUUAUUCUGGCUUGCCAAUGUCAUCUCUCCUGGGCUGACGUUGAACAAGAAAGCCAAGACUGGAAUCUGUUAUGAGCCAGUGUCUGAAUGUGGAUGCCUGUGGCACGUCUGACUGGCCCUGUGCUGACCACUGGACUUUGCAAGACCCAUGAAGCUUCAGUAAAUCUUCCUGCUUUGAGCAGGAUUCUGCACAACUGCCUUGGCUUCCCUUUCUUUGUCACAGGGAAGACAAGAACACCCCUGGCAGCUGGCACAGUGAAAAGACCUUGAAGCUCACCAAUGCUUUUAACAUUCUGAAGACUUCUGAGUUGAAAAGGCAAGGUCGGACUCUCAAAUGGUUUUAAGCAUUUUACAAAGGAUUUCACCAUUCACCCAUUUAAAAAGGAAACUCACAAACCGUUCAAGUGGUUUGAAAACAAGGGGACUCAAUUGCCAUGGGAACAGGUAUGGAACCAGAGAGGGAAAGAGUAAAGUUAUCCACAGUGCCUAAUGCCUUGGUUUCAUAGUGGAAGAACGGUUUCAGCUGAAGAACCAACUGCACCUAUCUGUGUAAAUGAAAAUGUCCUCAGGCAGUACAUUUCUGCCCUCCCUGCAGCAGAAUUUUUGACAUUUUCUUUCAGGCUGGAAGGAGAAACAAUUGUUUAAA